ACUGCCCUGUUGCUAGAGCUGCUUAUUAAAAAAACCUUUUUUACGACAUCGGUCACGGAGCUGGCGAGACGAUAAAUCCUUGCGUCUAUUAUCCGUGCUGCCGUCUGAUCUUGUAUUGCCAGUUAUUAAGUGUUCUUCUUGUUUUGUUAUAUGGAGAGCUUGACCAUCAAUCCCGUCUCCUCUGUUGAGAGUAUCAUUGUGUCUGAGGCUGCGGCUAUUCUCGAGAAUGCCAGCAAAAGACGGAGAUUGGAAACACCUACUUCAACUGUAGAGAGCAUUGUCGAAGUUGUCAUGGAGACCCCUAUUACCAUGGCAACCACCACAUCAGGUGGGGCUAGUGUAGAGGAAGUAAAGGUUAUGUUCUAGUCCCAAUACAUGGUCAUGGCAAACGGAAGUCAGACCCGAACUUCGCCGCAAACUCAUCAGAAUCAACUGAACCAACAACAGAACCAACAACAAAUGCAGCAACAGAACCAACAGAACCAACAGCAGAAUCAGCAGCAAAACCAGCAGCAAAACCAGCAGCAAAACCAGCAGCAAAACCAUGCACCAGAAGCAGAUCUGUUAAAUACCGUUUUCUACAACAUGCAAAACAUAAACAGAUUCGGCCCCAAAUUACUGCCCUGUCACAGGUUGUGUCUUGUACCCAGGAGGCAGUGAAAAUACUCCGGGAGAGUCAGGAGAGAUCAUUAGAUCUGGAGCAUAAAGAGGUUCCGGUUCCAGUUGGAGGCUGAAGAGAAGCGCCUUAUGAUGGAAAGCGAACACUAUCGCAAGAUGAACCCUGUUUUCCGGACAACAAUAACAGGCUAUAUCCCAGACCCCUACUCCUGCAACUCCUGCCACCGAGACACCCACUGAGAUCCGAGUGUCUCCUACUACUGUCAAACUGGAGGUGGACAGCUGAGUGAUACCACAAUAACGAGUGCUACCAAGCAGCAAUCACCUGUAAUAGCAACGAGUGCUACCAGAACAACGAGUGCUACCAUAGCAACGAGUGUGCUAUAGCAACGAAUUCUACCACAGCAACGAGUGGUGCCAUGCAACUGCAACAAGUGCUGAAGCGAUGAAUCAUAUCAGAACAUCACAUUUAAUUUAAGGGCAACGAGCAUACUUUGCCUUUGCAAACUCUGUACUGGUACCAUUUGGGUUAAAUUAAGGGAUCGUUCACGAAUUACAGAAGCCAUAUUUCGGCCAUUUUAACACCUUUAAACAUAUCUAUAUUGCAUAGAAAAUACACUUGCACUUCCAAACCUCCUCCUCGCUACGUAUUAUUUGGUCAAUCCCUUAUUGGGUUAAGUCAAUUUCUUGAAAAAUAAUCGGGCAUUUUUCGGUUUCGACAUUAGAUCUUAAAGCUAAGAAGGAUUUUGAAGCACCUGGUACUACUACUACUACAGAGCUUUUGAGUUAAUUUUGGAAAUGCUGAACGGUAUGAACACUAUAUCUGAGUUCAUAUUGUACUUUUAGUUUAUACCAGGCACACAUACACCGUCUUAAUAAUUAUAAAGC
Long non-coding RNA from Bolinopsis microptera, 1506 nucleotides. RefSeq lists it as uncharacterized. The transcript is spliced from 4 exons. Lineage: Eukaryota; Metazoa; Ctenophora; Tentaculata; Lobata; Bolinopsidae. The record is from RefSeq and is a predicted model, not a curated record.